Molecule: ribosomal RNA, 640 nt
Filed under: uncultured Chloroflexota bacterium
Lineage: Bacteria; Bacillati; Chloroflexota
Description: bacterial SSU rRNA
Rfam family: Bacterial small subunit ribosomal RNA
Source: RNAcentral
AACUGUCCGAAAGGGCAGCUAAUUCCGCAUGUGGUCCGAAAGGAAGAAAGGGCGAGAGCUCGCUUGAGGACGAGCCUGCGGCCGAUUAGCUAGUUGGUGAGGUAAAGGCCCACCAAGGCGAUGAUCGGUAGCUGGUCUGAGAGGACGAUCAGCCACACUGGAACUGGAACACGGUCCAGACUCCUACGGGAGGCAGCCGCAAGGAAUAUUGCACAAUGGGGGGAACCCUGAUGCAGCAACGCCGCGUGGGCGAUGAAGGCCUUCGGGUUGUAAAGCCCUUUUCUAGAGGAAGAGACAAGGACGGUACUUUAGGAAUAAGUCUCGGCUAACUACGUGCCAGCAGCCGCGGUAAAACGUAGGAGACGAGCGUUAUCCGGAUUUACUGGGCGUAAAGGGCAAGUAGGCGGUAAGCAAAGUUGGGCGUGACAUCUCUCGGCUUAACUGAGAGGGGUCGUCCAAAACUAGCUAACUAGAGGGCAGGAGAGGGGAGUGGAAUUCCUAGUGUAGCGGUGGAAUGCUUAGAUAUUAGGAAGAACACCAGUGGCGAAGGCGACUCUCUGGCCUGACCCUGACGCUGAGAGGCGAAAGCUAGGGGAGCGAACGGGCUUAGAUACCCCGGUAGUCCUAGCUGUAAACUUUG